This 513-nucleotide ribosomal RNA is filed under the name Triticum aestivum (bread wheat). RNAcentral describes it as "partial small subunit ribosomal RNA". The record is from RNAcentral. Lineage: Eukaryota; Viridiplantae; Streptophyta; Magnoliopsida; Poales; Poaceae.
AUGAAAGGAGGCAAGGCGAUGGGCCCUGAUUGUAUCCCCAUUGAGGUGUGGAAAGGUCUCGGGGACAUAGCGAUAGUAUGGCUAACCAAGCUUUUCAACCUCAUUUUUCGGGCAAACAAGAUGGCAGAAGAAUGGAGACAGAGUAUAUUAGUACCAAUCUUCAAGAACAAGGGGGAUGUUCAGAGUUGUACUAAUUACCGUGGAAUUAAGCUGAUGAGCCAUACAAUGAAGCUAUGGGAGAGAGUCAUUGAGCACCGCUUAAGAAGAAUGACAAGCGUGACCAAAAAUCAGUUUGGUUUCAUGCCUCGGAGGUCGACCAUGGAAGCCAUUUUCUUGGUACGACAACUUAUGGAGAGAUAUAGGGAGCAAAAGAAGGGCUUGCAUAUGGUGUUCAUUGACUUGGAGAAGGCCUAUGAUAAGAUACCAUGGACUUGUAUAUUAUACACUUGGAGAAACACAAAGUCCCAGCAAAGUACAUUACCCUCAUCAAGGACAUGUACGAUAAUGUUGUGA